UAGGGAAUCUUCCGCAAUGGACGCAAGUCUGACGGAGCAACGCCGCGUGAGUGAAGAAGGAUUUCGGUUCGUAAAACUCUGUUGUUAGAGAAGAACAGCGCAUAGAGUAACUGUUAUGCGUGUGACGGUAUCUAACCAGAAAGCCACGGCUAACUACGUGCCAGCAGCCGCGGUAAUACGUAGGUGGCAAGCGUUGUCCGGAUUUAUUGGGCGUAAAGCGAGCGCAGGCGGUCAAUUAAGUCUGAUGUGAAAGCCCCCGGCUCAACCGGGGAGGGUCAUUGGAAACUGUUUAACUUGAGUGCAGAAGGGGAGAGUGGAAUUCCAUGUGUAGCGGUGAAAUGCGUAGAUAUAUGGAGGAACACCAGUGGCGAAGGCGACUCUCUGGUCUGUAACUGACGCUGAGGUUCGAAAGCGUGGGUAGCAAACAGG
RNAcentral lists this ribosomal RNA (429 nucleotides) under Bacteroidota bacterium. RNAcentral describes it as "Bacteroidetes bacterium partial 16S ribosomal RNA". It matches the Rfam family "Bacterial small subunit ribosomal RNA", at positions 355 to 776 of the family's 1533-position model. The record is from RNAcentral. Lineage: Bacteria; Pseudomonadati; Bacteroidota.